This 508-nucleotide long non-coding RNA is filed under the name Homo sapiens (human). Its description in RNAcentral is "HSALNT0130298". Lineage: Eukaryota; Metazoa; Chordata; Mammalia; Primates; Hominidae. The record is from RNAcentral.
AAAGAACAAUAAGCAAAUGAAGUAAAAUGUUGGCAGUAGCAUCAUCCAAGACUACUGCUGUGGCUAUGGCAGCGAGAAUUUACUUUAGUAUGUCUGUAGCUGUUGGCUGCUUUGAUUGCGGACAGCAUGUACGAGCUCUGAUCUAAGCCUCCCAUUAUGGAGAAUCUUCAGAGGAGCACACGUCUUUGCUGGCUGGCAUAUCAACAUUCAUGAUCCUGGCAUGUGGAAGAAUACUCUGAUUAUUGCCCAAGACAUUAGCAUUAAAAAUUCCUUCUAAGGCAUUUCUUUAUUCUUAAGUAAAUCCUGUUAAGGAAAAAUAGGAAUGUAUAAGCGAUUAAUAAAUUAAGGAGAAAUUACUACAAACUGAUCAGAAUGCUCUUUGGAGAAGAAUACACCCUCAGCAGAAGGAGGUUCCAAGAUGGCCGAAUAAGAACAGCUCCAGUCUGCAGCUCCCAGCGUGAGCAACGCAGAAGAUGGGUGAUUUCUGCAUUUCCAGCUGAAGUACCGG